RNAcentral lists this long non-coding RNA (1286 nucleotides) under Triticum aestivum (bread wheat). RNAcentral describes it as "long non-coding RNA (TAES_LNC026967)". The record is from RNAcentral. Lineage: Eukaryota; Viridiplantae; Streptophyta; Magnoliopsida; Poales; Poaceae.
UCCAUUGCAGUUCGGCUGGGUGCCCAGUGAUGAUUUUUUGUGUCUAUCAACAUCAAACGAUCCCCCGAGCUGGAGUUGAAGGUCAUCGGCGGCAACGACGCCCCGUGCAAUUCAGAAAAUGUUUGUUUUGCUCCUGUCUUUUUUGCCUUCGGAUGCAGUUCUCCAUGCCCUCGUAUGCUGUCAAUGAUGAAGUGCUGUUGUUGACAGCUCUUUGUUGGUUUGGGUGCAGCUUGCAUGCAUCUAUGGAGUUCAAACAACGCACAAGCAUGCGAGUGUGGUUCCAAAGGAAUAGUCCACAUCGCUGACGACAGCACCACCACGACGUCAUGCGAUACGGUAGGUUGUGCCCUGCAGUUCGGCAAUCGUGUCAUGGGUUCACACGUGCGUCGGUGCUGCUCGGAGAUGCACGCCAUGCGGCUCGGUGUUUCGAGCACGCGAGCGCGUCUGACACAACUUGCCGACGACGACUACGCAUGAUUCUCAGGUCAUGGUCCAAUGCGAUGUUUUGCCGUUCGCCGGUACUCACUUCAGGUCAUGGUCCAGGUCGCCGCUCGACGCAGUCCACCAGCCACGAGAGGCCAACAAGGGUUGUGAAGCAGUUCUUUAGGCGCGCGCGUGCAGCCCAGGAAAUCCAGGAAUCCUGAUUGCUUUCAGUUCACUCAGUAAAAAAGAAAAAGUGGCGUGUGCAGCUCACUUUUAUCAAUUUUUGGUUUGUUGUAAGCGACCCCGAUUCGUUCCAUGUGUCUUCUUUGCAGAUCACUUCUUUGCUUUUUUUGCAGGCGACUCCGAUUCAUUCGAUGCUAGCUGCCUGGUCGGAGCUCCUCCACCGUUCACCUCCUCCUCUGCAUCCCAUGCAGUUCGCUCCGGUGGUUAACGAUGAUGCAUUGGCAGGGGGCGGAUGCAGUAUGGUAGGGCAGCGCAUGUAGUGCGGUAGCGCCGCACAUGCAGUGCGGUGCUCACGGCCGUGCGUGGCCGCUACGGUUGGCCGCGCGAGCCACUCCCUGGGACUUGAUUGCUUUCUUUCUUUUUUGGUCGAGGGAAGUUCCACAAAAUUUAGUUUGCGGCAGCAUGGUUCGGCUGUAACCCCCCAAGACCGAUGCUUCAGAAGUCUUCCAGCUAUCUUAUUGUCGCUGUGUGUUUUAUUUUUGUUUGUUGCUUUCAUCAUCGCAUCAUCCGCAUUGCAUCCGCAUGUUUUCUUAAAACUCUUAGUCCGUUCGUAGUUGCCGCGUCUCUCAGUUGUCUGUUUCGAGACCAACCGGGUUUUUCCCGUCCCUCUUGUCUAGCCG